GUGGGGAAUCUUGCGCAAUGGGCGAAAGCCUGACGCAGCCAUGCCGCGUGAAUGAUGAAGGUCUUAGGAUUGUAAAAUUCUUUCACCGGGGACGAUAAUGACGGUACCCGGAGAAGAAGCCCCGGCUAACUUCGUGCCAGCAGCCGCGGUAAUAUGAAGGGGGCUAGCGUUGCUCGGAAUUACUGGGCGUAAAGGGCGCGUAGGCGGACAGUUUAGUCAGAGGUGAAAGCCCAGGGCUCAACCUUGGAAUUGCCUUUGAUACUGGCUGUCUUGAGUACGGGAGAGGUGAGUGGAACUCCGAGUGUAGAGGUGAAAUUCGUAGAUAUUCGGAAGAACACCAGUGGCGAAGGCGACUCACUGGCCCGUUACUGACGCUGAGGCGCGAAAGCGUGGGGAGCAAACAGGAUUAGAAACCCCUGUAGUCC
RNAcentral lists this ribosomal RNA (425 nucleotides) under uncultured bacterium. RNAcentral describes it as "partial 16S ribosomal RNA". It matches the Rfam family "Bacterial small subunit ribosomal RNA", at positions 354 to 796 of the family's 1533-position model. The record is from RNAcentral.